Long non-coding RNA from Oncorhynchus keta (chum salmon), 5035 nucleotides. RefSeq lists it as uncharacterized. The record is from RefSeq and is a predicted model, not a curated record. Lineage: Eukaryota; Metazoa; Chordata; Actinopteri; Salmoniformes; Salmonidae. The transcript is spliced from 2 exons.
AAAAAAGACAAAAUGUGAUGAUACUGGAUAUAAUUUCAACAACAACAAAAAAACUCAGAUUGAAGAGGUCUUUCACCUUUUCUUUUUUUACUCCGAGGAAGAACUCGGGAUGGCUACAGUUGAUCCCACUGCCUCUGCAAUCCUGUUCUUACAAAAACAAUAUUACUAUGAGAAAUAAAAUAAGACUAUUUUCUAUUCCUUACUGGAUUUUUGGUUGUUUACAAAACACAGAUUUCUGUGGGUGCAGUUUUUUUGUGUAGGGGUGGGGUUUUGCGAGUGUGCUUCUGCAAUAUGGACGUUCAUUGGUGUACAUUGCUUUUGGCGGGAGGAGGAGUGACAUCACAAUGUGACGGACAAGAUCCUUGCCCUUUGACCCUUUAGUGGGCAUGGCUCUUUGGAAUUGACUGAUCCUCAAGGAGCGCAGGAGAAAGAAUUCAACAACAAAGUUAGUCUGUUAUUUUGGGGGAGUUCAUUAUUAGUGUGUCUUCCGGUUUCAUUUAGUUACAUUUUUGUUGUUGAACUGCCUAUCUUAACUAGACAAGUACUGAAAGAAGUAUAAAGCUUAAACAAAAAGCAGGGCACAGCAGAGGUGUUUUUGGUACUUCGACCACAAAUAAAGGAAACAACAAUAUCAUUGCUUUAAUAGGAGAGAAAAAAUGCCCUGGAGUUUUAUUUUUUAUCCACCAACGUAAAAGAGACAGAUGGACAAAUCUUUGAGGGGUGGAUGAGAAUAAAGGACAUUUGAAGAUUUUGUAAACUGUACAUACAUGAUGUUGACCUCAAAUCUACCAUUGCAUUUGAUUGGACUGUGUCAGCAGCAUAUCUUACUUUUUAUCAUCAUACUUUUUUAAGGGGGCUCAGGGUGUGCAGUGGGAGUGUAUUAACCCUGCAAUGAGGGGAAAUGAAAGGGUACCAGUACUGUUCCCUGGGGGACACCCCUCGACACUCACACCCUGCCCUGACACUCACUAUGCACUUUCUAACUGUGAGGUUCCAUUACAUUUGGGACGGGAGCACAGAAAUAUUAUAGUACAAAGGGAGGGUUGGAAAAUGUAACUUUGAGUUUUUAGUUAGUACCGUCUCACUGAAAACGAGAUUCAAACCGAAACGAAAGACUUAGGAACACACCUUCCUCCUGUACAUAACCAUAUUUUUGUAUUACCUUUUUUUAGAAAAUCACUUGGACAAAACCACAAGGCUUGAUAUAAAAACAAACAGAUGAAAGAAAUUCAAGACAGAUUGAGGAACAGAGUGAAUGUUCCUCAAGGAAACAUGUUUUUUUUUUUUUUUUAAAUACUGAGGUAAAUUAACUACCUGGAAGUUCCCUUGACUUUGCCAGUGGCCCUGUCUAUCAUCAGGAGUGGCGAAAGAAAGGACUUAACGUGGAUGGAGCUGCGGACUGUAGGGACUACCAAGACUGAUUGGUGAUCAUCGUCUGUCAUCAAAAUGGACUCCGCUGCAGAGCCCAGCCCAGGGUGUUUGAACAACAAUCGCCAACCAAUGGAGAAGGCAGGGGAGAGACAACACAAACAAUGGAUGUACGGGGAGACCUUCUGCCCAGAUGCCCCCCCGCCUUCUGCCACCUAGCCACUGCCUGGAGAUCAACUACAAGGUGACUGCAAGAAGAGAACCAUCAUAUAGGAUUCUAACUGUUCCUAGCUGCCCUCUGUUGGAAAGGAGAUGGAGCGUACUGUAUCUUCAAACCUUUCUUUUCCUCUUCUUUCUGCCCCCUGGUGGUAAAAGUGCCAAGCAGAAACCACAGCAGCAGAGGAACUUGGAACAGUGGACUACACACAAACGUAGAGCUUUACUCAUGUGUACAGUACACGCAGCUGGAUUCUGGUAAAAUAAUUGCAAGCACACAUUCUCAAAAAGACUUGCUCUUUUCUAGAACCACAUUCACACACACAACUAAUAGAGCCUGUCAUUACACCAGUGUUUCCCAAACUCGGUCCCGGAGGCCCCAAGGGGUGCACUACGCACAGCUGAUUCAAAUAAUCAACUAAUCAUCAAGCGCUGGUUAUUCGAAUCAGUUGUGUAGUGCUAGGGCAUAAACAAAAACGUGCACCCCUUGGGGUCCCCAGGACCGAGUUUGGGAAACACUGCAUGACACAUUCAUGCACACACACACACACACACACACACACACACACAAGCGGAAAGGCUCAAUACUACACACUUGAGUUAUGUAAAUAACGUGAAAGUAUUUUGUUUUCGUCUAAUUGUUUUUCUUUUCUCUCUGUUCAACAUGCCUUAACUGUACAGAUCUGCCUUGUAUGGCAAACUCUAAAUAUUCAAUAAACAGUAAGAGAACAUAAGGACAAUAGCAUUUGAAGGGGAGGUCUGUUCUACUUACUUGGACAGGACUGUCUUAUUAGCUAACAAUACUGUUGUAUGUUACGUUAUUUCUGUCCAGCAUCUAUUGCACGUUAGCAUGAAAGUAGAACUGUAGAAAACCCCUUACGACAAUGAUGAUGGUGGUUUGCCUUUUUUGAAAGCAAGAGUGUUUCUUUUCAGAUAUCCAGUUUUAAAUGCCUAUACAUGUAGUUGGUGUAGGGUGAGGAAUGAGAAGUCUGGAGUAUAGUGUGGAGCUGAGCUGACUUGGAAGGGUAUGUUAAAGGCCCAGUGCACCCCCCCAAAAAAUGACUUUAUAUAUAGUAUAUUUCCACACUGAGGUUUGAAUAAUACUGUGAAAAUGUUAAUGCUCUUUUAGUUUAAGAGCUAUUUGAAAAGACUGCCUAUUUUGGUGGGAUGGAGUUGCCGCCUGCAUGGUGACAUAGACCAAUAAGAAAAAGCGUUCCAAACCUCUCUGCCAAUAACAGCUAGUUUAGUUUCCCUCCCCACUCAGACCACUCCCAGACAGUCCUUGCUAAAUUGAUCUUUGCUAAGAAGCUGUUUUUGUUUCUUUUUGACCAUUUUAAAUCAAUGAAAGAAAUCACAGUAAGGUAAUUAAACUGUUUCCCAGAAAUGAUUUGAUAUUGAGAUGUCUGCAUUGGACUUUUUAAAUCUGUCCUCUCUCACACACACACACACACACACACACUACAUAUUACUAUUUACCCCAUCACUAGUAAUGGUUUGACGGAAAAGAUUUUGACACAAUAAUUCACAUUAUGAGACUUGAUUUGAAACAUGUUCAACUGUUUUAUCUUGGUGCUUACCACGCCUUAAAAUGGAGGAUAUAUUUAUUCUUGGCGUUCUCUGAGUAGCCUAAAUUGUCCCUAAACAUUUGACUAAUGACCAUUUGUAAUGACUUAUGUCCCUGUAUAUUAGAAGCGUCUACCGUAGCUAAUGGUAUUGAAUGGCUGUAUACGAGUCAAGGUUUACUCAACAGAUUGAGUGGCUAUGAUACUUGUUGCUAUAUGUAUUCCAUUAUACAGUUGAUAAUGGGUUUGUCUCUCUUCUACUGAAGGUGCUUGGAACAGUUCUGAAACUUGUUAGUUUGUUUUUCGUAUGGAGAAACCCAAUACUUCCCCUGUCAGUUAGGUUGAAUGGAUUCAUUCUUUUGAAAGUGUUUUCCUAUUUAGAAUCAGUUCUGGUUGGUCCGACAAACAAGUAUUAACUUUGGCUGUUCUGGGAAUGUUUAUUUUUAGGUUGCAGGGAGGUUCUUACAACGUUUUACUCUGGUUCCUUUGAAGUUCCCCUCUGAGGUUUUAUUAAACAGUGAGAACGGAAAUUCUAGGUACUUUAAGUUUAAAAAAAAAAAUUACUUCCUUGACUUUCACUGAAAGUUUCAAUAAGAAACUGAACGUUUCAAGAGCACCGCUAGCUUAUUUGGGGUUAAACUGUUUAAACUCCAAGCACAGAUCAGACACAUGGAAAUUCAUGCAAACAUUUAAAAAAUUGUGACAUCGCAUCUGUGAGAUUCGAACCUAUAAUCUUCUGGAAUUAGUCUACUGUGCCAUCAGGAUGGAGCUAGUGUGCCAUUGGUUUUUUUACACAUACAAAUCUGUUCCUUUGAGUCUAUUGAAACAGACCACAUUUUUAAAGGAAACAGCACUCAAGCUCAGGUGUGGCCACCACACCCAAACACACUUAACAAGAGUGUUUUGGUGAUGCUGAGAACAGAAUGUAUGUUUUGAAAUAACGUUCUCUGAACAUUAAAGUUUUUCUAGGACGUUUUAAACAAUGAGAACAUAACUUUAAAUAGAACCAUGAGGAAACGCUAUGCUGAAGUACUGAAAUUCCCACAGAAGAACGUUGUUUAACGUUCUCUGAACUAUGAGAACAUUCCCAAUGUCAAACCAGUUGGAGAAUGUUCUUAAAACAUUACCAAAACUGAACUUAAAUGUAACCAUGUUUGAACUUUUAGGAAACAUUCUGUUAAAAGUAAUGACAUUUGACAAAGUGCUGAGAAUGUUCCAAAGCCAAGCAACUAUCCUGCAACAUUCCCAGAAAGUUGUGAAAAGGUCACAUGCAAAAUCAACACGACCAGACUCUCACCAAACUAUUAAAACAUAUGGUUCUCAGAAAGUUACGUUUUAGCUGGGUUGGUUUUGAAUACACUCUAUUCAGUCCGUUUGGAUCAGUUUAUGUAUUGGUUAGUGCAGAUUGGGGAAUAUCUAAAAUGUCACUGAAGUACUUUGUGAAGACAGAGAGAGCAGGGUAUUGUCAUUAUUUGAAUUCCAUCGGUCAGAUAAGGAUGCCAGUGGCAUGCUGGUUUGCAGGGAGCUGUGUUUCAAAUGUAGCCACCAAUUAUUCUAGUCUGUUGUUGAAUGACUGGUGGUUAUCAUAUGUUAGUCUGUCAAGUCUCCAGCUGUUGACAUUUUUCAGAUUUUCUGUUAAUCCUUGAAGUUCAAAAGUUAUUGUUUUUGCUUUGUGAUGCCCCUGGGGGAGAUGAUUAAUUUACCAAAUUAUAUUUUCCCUUGUUUCACCCAGUCAGCUCAAUUCCAUCACUUAAACGUUUUGAAUGAGUUUAGUAACAUAAAUGCAUUCAGAAAAAGAACAUACCUAAAGAAUUGUAAAUAGUUUGUUUUUUGUUUGAAGAGAACCAAAAGUGAUUAAAUAAAAUGCAUUUGAUGGGUAUGACUAUGAA